RNAcentral lists this non-coding RNA (27 nucleotides) under Rattus norvegicus (Norway rat). Lineage: Eukaryota; Metazoa; Chordata; Mammalia; Rodentia; Muridae. The record is from RNAcentral.
GGAAACCUAUAACAGCUGUGACGCUCC